GACGAACGCUGGCGGCGUGCUUAACACAUGCAAGUCGAACGAAGAGCGAUGGAAGCUUGCUUCUCUCAAUCUUGGUGGCGAACGGGUGAGUAACGCGUAAUCAACCUGCCCUUCAGAGGGGGACAACAGUUGGAAACGACUGCUAAUACCGCAUACGAUCUAAUCUCGGCAUCGAGGAUAGAUGAAAGGUGGCCUCUACAUGUAAGCUAUCACUGAAGGAGGGGAUUGCGUCUGAUUAGCUAGUUGGAGGGGUAACGGCCCACCAAGGCGAUGAUCAGUAGCCGGUCUGAGAGGAUGAACGGCCACAUUGGGACUGAGACACGGCCCAGACUCCUACGGGAGGCAGCAGUGGGGAAUCUUCCGCAAUGGACGAAAGUCUGACGGAGCAACGCCGCGUGAGUGAUGACGGCCUUCGGGUUGUAAAGCUCUGUUAAUCGGGACGAAAGGCCUUCUUGCGAAUAGUGAGAAGGAUUGACGGUACCGGAAUAGAAAGCCACGGCUAACUACGU
Molecule: ribosomal RNA, 509 nt
Filed under: uncultured bacterium
Lineage: Bacteria
Description: partial 16S ribosomal RNA
Rfam family: Bacterial small subunit ribosomal RNA
Source: RNAcentral